RNAcentral lists this transfer RNA (67 nucleotides) under Ectrychotes andreae. RNAcentral's name for it is "tRNA-Arg". The record is from RNAcentral. Lineage: Eukaryota; Metazoa; Arthropoda; Insecta; Hemiptera; Reduviidae.
AAAGUAAUGAAGUAAGAUUACAUUUAGUUUCGACCUAAAAAUAGAGUUAUGUAGACUCCUUACUUUU